CACCGAUAAAACCAUUUCAAUUCUCACACUGAACCAUUUUACAAAACAGAAGUACGUCUCUCCAUACUAGAAUUUACAUGUGGUAGCAGGAUAUGUAUGAUAUACAGAAAUAAUUACCCAGAAUACAUAAGUAUAUCAGAAUGGCAAAAAAAAUACAGGAUACAUUGAAUGCAUCAGAAAAGUUCAAAAUAUAGAACACAAUAAAGGCAGAGGUACAAGAAAAAGUGCUGUGAGGUCUGAUGGGGGGGAAGUUUGUUACAUUAUUAGAUGAUGGAGUUACAAGGUAAGUAAAAGGCAGUUCUUGCCCCCAAGGAGCUUACAAUCUAAUGGAAGUGAAAACAUAAUAGUGAACAAGCUAUCCACUGGACAAACCGGAACUGAUCAUGGGAAGGCACUGGAAUUAAGAAAGAUUGGGAAAGGCCUCUUUCAGAAAAUGGGAUUUUAACUGGGGUUAGAAGGAAGCCAGGAAGCAUCUCCUAGAGUAGGAAAAACUUUCAGAAGUCUUUAGUCACUUCUCAGAAUAAAGACAUUUAUGCAACAAGACUAGCCAUUAGAUCCCUAGAAGUCAUCUGAUAAAAAAUACCUCAAUUUGGGGCAGCUAGGUGGUACAGUGGAUAGAGCACCAGCCCCUGAAUUCAGGAGGACCCGAGUUCCAAUCUGGCCUCAGACACUCAACACUUCCUGGCUGUGUGACCCUGGGCAAAUCACUUAACCCCAAUUGCCUCAGCCAAAAAAAAAAAAAAAAAAAAACGCAAUUUCAUUUUACAUGUAUAGAAACUGAGCUGUCCCCCAAGAAAAAAAGAAAAAGAAACUGAGGCCCAGAGAAGUUAAGUGCUUUGUCCAAAAGCACAAAGGGAAUAAUUAGCAGGGGCAGAAGUGGCCCCAGAGCUGAUACCCUUUCCAACACACCAAGUUUCCUUUCCAUUCUGAUAAAGUGCUCUGUGAUCCCCUUGCAACGUCAAAGUCAUUCACCUAAAUGAGUUCAAAACACAUAUUGUCCUGGGCUAAAUUAUACAGUGUCCACAGAGUGUGUAUAUUUAUAUACGUUGGCAGGAUGGGAUAUUUUGGGGGCGCCACCACAAUAUUCCAGCAUCCUGUGCCAGCUGAGUUUCUAUCAUUUAAAGUCACGGGCUCCUCGUAUUUGUUUGCAGAAGGGUAUAUCAGGCAGAGCUGAACUCUUAUAGCCAUGAGGCGAAGAGAUAAUUACAUUUGAAGGGAAUAAGUGUGUACUUUUUGCCAAUGGCCCUGCACUGAUUUGGUGAUUACAUCCAUUAUGAGAAAGAAGGGGAGAGGGAGAAAAGGGAAUAAGAGCAAACAACAUUCUUUGGACAGCAUCUUGCUUAGAUGGUGGGUAAUGUGAUAGAAACAAAAUACACAACAUCAGUUGAACUAGUCAACAACAAAUUAUUCUCUUGUUAAAACUUAUUGUGCUCACUGUACCAAGCUAAAGAUUACCCUCUUCAGUAAGAUCCACCCUCUCUGGAGGAAAAAUAGGGAAAACAAAGAGGAUGAAAGAAUCAUGCAAGUGGACGGGAAAUCCACCGAGUCGGUUCAUAACAGUACAUAUGAAAAGACUGUGUACAGAACUGGGCUCGACUAGUCAGGACACUGGGCAGGAUCUUUAGAAGUACCUUCCUGACACAAAAAACCAUCUUUUGAUAAGUUCUAUAGUUACAAAUCACAGGACAUUGCGAUCUCAAAAACCGCAAACCUUAGGUCAUCCAGGCCAAUGAUGAGAGCAUGAGAGGGAGUACGUGGAAUGGGUAGAUCUUCCAUACAAAAUUUAUAGGACCAGAGAAUUAGGAGGGACCUCAGACAUCAUCUUGCCCAAUGUCUUUAUGUGAUUGAUGUGAAAAGUGAGACCUGGGGAGACUAAGUGAGGUGCCCAAGGUCACAUUAGUGAUAACUGGCAAAAUGGUCAAGAAUCACAGAGGAUGAGAAGAUAUAGUGUGUGUGCACUGACAGAUGGAGUAUUAACAGGGAUGAACUCCUGGCCCUCAAAAAGUAUGGAGAGAUACCGUGAACAGACUGCAGCGUCUCUUCCCUCCCGAUUUCGCUGGCAGCGUUGGAGAAAGAUUGCACAAUUUGUAUUUUCACUUUGUCAUUUUUGGAAGUGAAUCACUCUCAAUGCCUGGCUCACAAUGGAAUAAAAACAACUUUUAAUUAGGGGAAUACCAAUAUUAACUUCCAAUAUUAAUAGCAAGGAGGCAAGUAUAAGAGGUCCUUACAUUCCCUUCUUACAUGGAGUGUUUCAGGUUAUUCAAC
Molecule: long non-coding RNA, 2265 nt
Organism: Sarcophilus harrisii (Tasmanian devil)
Lineage: Eukaryota; Metazoa; Chordata; Mammalia; Dasyuromorphia; Dasyuridae
Source: Ensembl